RNAcentral lists this small RNA (125 nucleotides) under Marmota monax (woodchuck). Lineage: Eukaryota; Metazoa; Chordata; Mammalia; Rodentia; Sciuridae. The record is from RNAcentral.
ACUGGGUGCGGUGGCUCAUGCCUGUAAUCCUAGCAACUCGGGAGGCUGAGGUAGGAGGAUCAUGAGUUCAAAGCCAGCCUCAGCAAAAGUCAGGUUCUAAGCAACUCAGUGAGACCCUGUCUCUA